RNAcentral lists this non-coding RNA (18 nucleotides) under Arabidopsis thaliana (thale cress). The record is from RNAcentral. Lineage: Eukaryota; Viridiplantae; Streptophyta; Magnoliopsida; Brassicales; Brassicaceae.
GACGCUUAUGUUUGGCGG